UCACUCUUGAGCCUUGGCCUAGUGAAU
Molecule: non-coding RNA, 27 nt
Filed under: Homo sapiens (human)
Lineage: Eukaryota; Metazoa; Chordata; Mammalia; Primates; Hominidae
Source: RNAcentral